RNAcentral lists this ribosomal RNA (1203 nucleotides) under metagenome. Its description in RNAcentral is "bacterial SSU rRNA". It matches the Rfam family "Bacterial small subunit ribosomal RNA", at positions 202 to 1406 of the family's 1533-position model. The record is from RNAcentral.
GAAAACUGCGAGCAAUUGUGGUGCCUAAGGAUGGGCCCGUGGCCUAUCAGCUUGUUGGUGAGGUAAUGGCUCACCAAGGCUAAGACGGGUAGCCGGACUGAGAGGUCGAUCGGCCACACUGGAACUGAGACACGGUCCAGACUCCUACGGGAGGCAGCAGUGGGGAAUUUUGCGCAAUGGGCGAAAGCCUGACGCAGCGACGCCGCGUGGGGGAAGAAGGCCUUCGGGUUGUAAACUCCUUUAGUACGGGAAGAAGCCUUCGGGUGACGGUACCGUAAGAAUAAGCCACGGCUAACUCUGUGCCAGCAGCCGCGGUAAUACAGAGGUGGCAAGCGUUGUUCGGAUUUACUGGGCUUAAAGGGCGUGUAGGCGUCCCGAUCAGUCAGAUGUGGAAGCCCUGGGCUUAACCCAGGAAGUGCAUUUGAAACUGUCGGGAUUGGGUCAUGCAAGGGAGGGCGGAAUUCCUGGUGUAGCGGUGAAAUGCGUAGAUAUCAGGAGGAAGGCCGGUGGUGAAGACGGCCCUCUAGGCAAUGACUGACGCUGAGGCGCGAAAGCGUGGGGAGCAAACAGGAUUAGACACCCUGGUAGUCCACGCCCUAAACGGUGCGUACUAGGUGUGGGUGGCGAUAGUCAUCCGUGCCGUAGGGAAACCAUUAAGUACGCCGCCUGGGGAGUACGGCCGCAAGGUUGAAACUCAAAUGAAUUGACGGGGGCCCGCACAAGCGGUGGAGCAUGUGGUUUAAUUCGACACUACGCGCAGAACCUUACCUAGGCUUGACAUGUUAGUGGUAGGAACCCGAAAGGGUGACGACCUACUCUUCGGAGUGGGAGCUUUCACAGGUGCUGCAUGGCUGUCGUCAGCUCGUGCCGUGAGGUGUUGGGUUAAGUCCCGCAACGAGCGCAACCCUCAUCAUCUGUUGCCCUUAACGGGGCUCUCUGAUGAAACUGCCGGCGAAGAGCUGGAGGAAGGUGGGGAUGACGUCAAGUCCGCAUGGCCCUUAUGCCUAGGGCUACACACGUGCUACAAUGGCAGAUACAAAGGGUGGCCAAGCCGCGAGGUGGAGCCAAUCUCAUAAAGUCUGUCCAAGUUGGGAUCGGAGUCUGCAAUUCGACUCCGUGAACCUGGAAUCGCUAGUAAUCGUGGAUCAGAACGCCACGGUGAAUACGUUCCCGGGCCUUGUACACACCGCCCGUCACACCACG